RNAcentral lists this ribosomal RNA (253 nucleotides) under uncultured bacterium. Its description in RNAcentral is "partial 16S ribosomal RNA". It matches the Rfam family "Bacterial small subunit ribosomal RNA", at positions 524 to 776 of the family's 1533-position model. The record is from RNAcentral.
CACGUAGGGCGCAAGCGUUGUCCGGAAUUAUUGGGCGUAAAGAGCGCGCAGGCGGUCGUACAAGUCGCGUGUGAAAGCCCCUGGCUCAACUGGGGAGGGUCACGCGAUACUGUUCGACUCGAAGGCAGGAGAGGGAAGUGGAAUUCCCGGUGUAGUGGUGAAAUGCGUAGAUAUCGGGAGGAACACCAGUGGCGAAGGCGACUUCCUGGCCUGUUCUUGACGCUGAGGCGCGAAAGCUAGGGUAGCAAACGGG